GUUAGGGUCUGUGUGGGUCAUGUAGCAAAUGUAUAUACAACUAUUAUCCUAUACAUAUAUUGGUGGAAAGGAGAUUUUGAUAUACUGCAAUGAUUAUAGUUAAAGCAGGGUGUCAAAUAAAACUAGAAGUGUGCGUGAAGUGCUACCCCCAAAACCUCCAUACAUCAUUGUUCAAGACAUAAUUUAAGUUCGGUACCUUUAAUUUUAUGUUCAAUUCCUUGUGUGUUUUGUUUGAAAGUAAUGUUGCAACCUUAUAUAAGUUCUUGUUGGGGGUGGUCUUACAGAUGUCACAAGAGUGAGAACCUUGAGUAUAUUGUUUUAAUGAUUGUAAGAUGUGAAAGUAUGAUUCCAAAUGCCUAAAGUAAUAGACCAUUGAACUAAAAGAGAUGUGAUUCUAAGAUCUAUUGUUGAAUUUUAGUUAGUUACAGCAAGAAUGCUAGUGGAAUUGUGCCAACAGUAGACUAUUUUACAUAUAAGCAACAGUAG
RNAcentral lists this long non-coding RNA (486 nucleotides) under Trifolium pratense (red clover). RNAcentral describes it as "long non-coding RNA (TPRA_LNC004517)". The record is from RNAcentral. Lineage: Eukaryota; Viridiplantae; Streptophyta; Magnoliopsida; Fabales; Fabaceae.